UACGUAGGGGGCAAGCGUUGUCCGGAUUUAUUGGGCGUAAAGAGCGUGUAGGCGGCCAGACAGGUCCACUGUGAAAACUCGAGGCUCAACCUCGAGAGGUCGGUGGAAACCGUCUGGCUAGAGUCCGGAAGAGGAGAGUGGAAUUCCCGGUGUAGCGGUGAAAUGCGCAGAUAUCGGGAAGAACACCCGUGGCGAAGGCGGCUCUUUGGGACGGUACUGACGCUGAGACGCGAAAGCGUGGGGAGCGAACAGG
RNAcentral lists this ribosomal RNA (253 nucleotides) under uncultured bacterium. RNAcentral describes it as "partial 16S ribosomal RNA". It matches the Rfam family "Bacterial small subunit ribosomal RNA", at positions 524 to 776 of the family's 1533-position model. The record is from RNAcentral.